Long non-coding RNA from Pipra filicauda (Wire-tailed manakin), 784 nucleotides. RefSeq lists it as uncharacterized. The transcript has 3 exons. The record is from RefSeq and is a predicted model, not a curated record. NCBI's taxonomy places the organism in Eukaryota, Metazoa, Chordata, Aves, Passeriformes, Pipridae.
CUGUUAUGAUAUAGUAACUAAUGAUUUACUUGCCCUGUUGGUUUUCCUAUCUGUAUUGUAUUUUCUCCUCUUACUGAUGCUUUUUCACUCCCUUACUCUUCCCUUUAUUACCACAGAGUGCCUUGUCCCUCUGUUCUCAUUGUUUCCCAUUAUCCUUCCAUAAUCCCAUUGUACAAUCUAACCAUCAUCUGCACUUCUCAUAGCCUUAACCUGAAAAAAGGUCCUGGCAGAUAUUAGAGCUAGCAAUGGUGAUGGAAGGUUUUUAGAGUAAAGGUCAUAAGACCUGGAGAAUUCUCUUAUUCCUCUGAACUGAUGAGUGUGGAAAGAGAAAGCUGCAAGGAGACUUGAAGGCUUCAGAUCGAUACUUCAAGUAGGUGAUUAGUGGAUAUCAAGCAUCAGGGUUUGCAAUUAUCUAAUUCAAGAGUGAGGGAAGCGAUUGGAAGCGAGUGGCUGCAUGGACUGAAAUAAUUAGAUCAUAUAAUUCUUCAACUGUAAAGUACAUAUUUUGCCAAGGAAUGCUGAAAGACGGAACAGAAGGCAUUAAGUACUCAUUUCAAAAAUUGUAGACAGUCAGUUUCAUAGGAUCAAAUGUCACUCUGAUUGAAAAUAUUGUCAAAAGAGAGAAGAGGAAAACACUGAUUUUGUAAGCCUGCAUAUUAAAUAUUUUUAUUCUGUCCCUGUGACUAGCAUUUGAAUAUAGGUGUCACAGUAGGUAAAAUCCCUUUGCCAGGCCUUACAGGCUCUUCAGUAUAAACAUCACUUGAGAUCAGCCCCUGCCCCACCA